CCGGUUCCGAGAAUUGUUGAUUUGGCUAACUAGGGCAGCUCAAGUGGAGCGCCUAAGAGAGGCGAGCACCGGCGCUGAUCCGUCUCCUUGCUUACUAUACCCGAGCUUUCCCUUGAGUCUCUGACAUAUGCUUACAGAAGUACGACCUGAAGAGAAAAUGAAUGUUCCAGCACUGAAGCUCCAGCUGAAGACGACAAUGAUGUCAUUGAGCUUCCUCAUGUACCGGUUAAAGCACUAGAGAUGCAAUAAGCUCCAAGGAUAACAGUUUUGGGAGAGGCAGUACCUACUUAGUCGGAUGGAACUGACCUGAACAGGCACAAGUCCUGCAGUUUUGGAGGAGCUGUAAAAUAUCAACGCGAUGUUUUUGC
Molecule: non-coding RNA, 368 nt
Organism: Lolium perenne
Lineage: Eukaryota; Viridiplantae; Streptophyta; Magnoliopsida; Poales; Poaceae
Source: RefSeq, a predicted model, not a curated record